RNAcentral lists this small nuclear RNA (109 nucleotides) under Oryza sativa Indica Group (long-grained rice). The record is from RNAcentral. Lineage: Eukaryota; Viridiplantae; Streptophyta; Magnoliopsida; Poales; Poaceae.
CUUGUGAAAUCCAUAAAAUAAACUAAAAUUGAAAAGUUAGAAGAUUUUAAAAAACUACUGUAUCUACUAAUCGGUUGUUUCUCGUAAUCUUAACCUUCGGCAUAGGUAG